Long non-coding RNA from Oncorhynchus gorbuscha (pink salmon), 1069 nucleotides. RefSeq lists it as uncharacterized. The transcript is spliced from 3 exons. NCBI's taxonomy places the organism in Eukaryota, Metazoa, Chordata, Actinopteri, Salmoniformes, Salmonidae. The record is from RefSeq and is a predicted model, not a curated record.
UCGGGUAGCGAAGUAAACAAUAAAAAUAGACAUUCCACACGGCGUAUCACAUUUAACAAACCAAACAUUCCAAAAAAUGUUCUUAACUGACUUACCCAGUUAAAUAAAGCUUACAUUUUAAAAAAUGAAAUAAAGAUGGGGAUGAAUGACACUGGUAGCUAGACAGUGUCCUUUGCCCACGCCGAACACUGCUUUCCUGCAGUUCUACGUCUGUGUCCCAAGGAUCCCGGAUAGCAAGGACAUCACAUAUUACAUCGCUUCCUCACAGCUUCAAAAGCCUGACCCUGAGCAACUACCAACGAGCUGAAGUAGAUGUGCCUGUACCAGUUGAGGAUGAGUUGGUUGUGCCUGUAUCAGCGUCAGCAGUUGUGGAUGAGUUGGUUGUGCCUGUAUCGGCGUCAGCAGUUGUGGAUGAGUUGGUUGUGCCUGUAUCGGUGUCAGCAGUUGAGGAUGAGUUGGUUGCAGAUUCAUCACCACCAUCAACAACUCUGAAGAAUCGUGGAACACAGUGUAAAUGGAACCUACACCGCUCAAAAGCCCCCCAUCAGCUGCACUGUGAGCAGAAGGGGAGUGCAAAUAUGAAGCAGGAGGAUGCAGAGCCCACACCGUUUAGAGAGGAACAGGUCUCUGAAACCUCAGUGUUCUUAUUCACGCCUUCCAGCGUGAAAAGUGAAUCUGAUAAUGAUCAGGACCCAUCUUAUGCUUCACAUCUUUACCAAACCCAAAGUGAAGAAAACCCAGAGUGACGUCUACCCAACAACAUAAGUGCAGAGAUCAAAACAGAAGUUGAUGGAGAGGACUACAGAGUAUAGGAACCAACCGGUGACUCUCAGCCCCUCUGCAGCAAACCCAAACUGUUCUGCAGUAAAGAGUGAAAACGGGGAUUGUGUUGAUGGGGAGGCAAAUGGAGGACUUAUCUCAAAACUAAAGCCACUCGAAUCAACUCGGGCAACUCGGGCAGUAAUCCCGUCUGGAUUACUGCAACUCGCUGUUGGCUGGGCUCCCUGCCUGUGCCAUUAAACCCCUACAACUCAUCCAGAACGCCGCAGCCCGUCUGGUGUUCAACCUU